This is a long non-coding RNA of Nicotiana attenuata, 2807 nucleotides long. RefSeq lists it as uncharacterized. The record is from RefSeq and is a predicted model, not a curated record. The transcript has 2 exons. Lineage: Eukaryota; Viridiplantae; Streptophyta; Magnoliopsida; Solanales; Solanaceae.
AAAGCUCGGCCAAACGGGCAUGUGAUUUCUCAAACUAUUCUAACAGCCCUUUCAUUGCCGAUUUUAGAGCCGCUGUUUAUCCAUAGGGAGAUUUGCACAAAUAGGAUCGUUUCUUCAAUGCAGUAUGCCUUUUCUUUUUCUUUCUUUAACGUUUCCACCGGAGCAUUUAAUGAUGCCGGUGGCGGCGGUGGAAGUGGUGGUGGUGAGUAUAAUCGACGUGCUUAAAAGACGCGAUGAUGAUUUUAACUUUAAUUCCUUUCUGAGCUUACUAAUUAAUCGGGGCAUUUUGAGAUAAUCCGACCCGUAUCUUGGCGGGGCAUGCUCCCGGUGGGUUUUGCAGCCAUGGCGUCCCCGGACACUCUUGUUGCCUGAUCGUAAACACAUAUCUGAGCCUCAAUUUCACUCCCUUUUCCGGCAUAAUCGAGUUGUAUGUAUUUUUGCUCAAAAGCCCUAAUCCUGUUUUUUCCCCAACCUUUUGCAAAGGUGGAAUUUGAACAUGAGAAAUUUUCAGAAACCACUAUGUUUUAGUGAUUAUUAGCUUGCUAUAUCAACCUUUGCUACAGGAGGUAAAAUUUCUUCCAAAUAUUGGUUUCAGUUCGACCCGAUUUAGAUAAGGCCCAAUUGAUUAGGGCACAAUAUAUAAGAAGUGGCGAUAACAUGAAAAUAGCAAAAAUAUCAUUAGUUUAAGUCUGAGGCAGCGGUGAAAGCAGAGAGCUGUAGGGAGUUUCAAUGGGUGGUUUUGCUCCUCUCUGUCAUUCUCCUCUGCCAAUGAUCACUCAAAUGAAAAUUUUCCGAUUGCAAAACCACCCUAGGUUGAUUGAUUUAUUACUCCCUCUGUUCAAAUUUAUUAGAGGCUAUGAAGAUUGUUGUUUGUGAAAAAGACAGACUUAUAAAUCUAUUGAGCUGGAAAAACUGUAUCUUGGCAUGGCAGCUCAAAUAUGUCUAUGAGAUACAACAACAACAACAACAUAUACGCAGACCUCACCCUACCUUGUGAGUCUAUGAGAUAUUGGAGAAAAUCCAUUUCUUGGGUGUUUUAUCCUGUCUCAUAAGACUAACUUAUGCUUGCAGCCAUGGCAGUUUUUUCCAAAGCUUUUUGGGUUUUGUCUGAGAAAAGGCGAAUCUGAGCCUACCCCAUUGCUAUUGAUUUUGGUUUUUGCUUUUUGCUUUUUUCUCUGCUACUUGAUGACAUAGGAAACAAUCCGAGCUCAUACCUCAAUUUAACUUUUGGUUCACUUUUGAGACUGUAACUCUUGGAGAAGCAUUGUGGAAAUAAUUCUUAGCUUGAAGGAGCUCUGCAGUUGGUGUUACAAGUUAAAAGCUAAAAUCAUAGACCUUUACAAGGAAGGCAAUACAUUUAUGAGGAAGUAAGCUCGUUGUAUAAUUUAAGCAAAUUUUGCAGUUGUUGCUUGUUUUGUGAAUACACACUAAUUGUGUAUAUUGAGUUCGUGCUGAUUGGUUUUUCGUGAGAUUGCUUGUUUUUAUUGGUUUUUUGGCACACUUUGUGAUUGACCUAAAGAAGUCAUACUUCUUGCUCUUCUCCUUCAAUUGUUUUGCUUAUUCUGUGCAUGAAGGAAUUCAUCCUAAAUGAUGAGUAAUUCAAGUAAAAGCUAUGGAUUUUAACAUCCAAAUGAAGCAUUUUGUCAUAGUUACUCUGAUAGAUUGAUGAGAUUCCUUUGUAGCUCUAUUUUUUUGUUACAUCCUUCAUUAGGUCUAAUUGUUUUUGUGGUACGUCCCUUAUUAGCUCCAUUAUUUUGGGGUACAUCCUUUAUUAGCUCUAUGUUAUCACAACUACUGGUCUAAACAAAUUGUUUUAUGUGGUGUAUUUUAAAUGGCAGCCCGGUGCACUAAGCUACUUCUACGCGCGGGGUCCGGGGAAGGGCCGGACCACUAGGGUCUAUUGUACGCAAGCUUACCCUGCAUUUCUGAAAGUGGCUCUUUUAAUUGGUGUAUUUUAUGCUUUAUUUUAUCAAGUUCUAUUAUGUGUUAUCCUAGAGUUUUUUUUCCUUGAUGAAGAGUUUAUAAGGUUGUAGAUAACCAGAGAUACAAUGCCUGGUCUUUUCUAAACUGUUGCUGUUUACUUGGAUUUUAAGGAAGCAUUUUACCUCCCAAAAUUUGUCAGUAAGUUUUCAUGAAGAUUAUAAAACACUAGUUAAGUGACAUAAGCAUGGUUUUCUAUUGUCUUGAAAGGGUCUUAACAUUAUUGAAUUUGAGAACAAUUGUAUGUUUAAUGCAAAAAGAGAAUUGCAAAUAAGGCAACUUUGCCGAGGGGAUCUGUUUUUGUUGAUUCCCUCUUUUCCCUGUUGCCAAUAUUUUAAUUGGACAAGCUUGGAACAAUUUUAGUUGAUGAACUAUACGUUUCUGACUUCAGCUGAUUCUAGCUUGGCUACAUUCUUUAUCUCUCUUUUGAUCUGAUAAAUUUAGUACUUCGCAUAUUCUUUAUAUAAAUGUCAAAAGUUUUUUCUUUUUUGGUUUCUUAAACUUCGUGGCCAGUCCAACACACUUCUUUUGUGGUUAUGUUUGUAAUCCCUGCAUUCAAAAGUAUUGUGUGAUUUUCUUUUGUAAUUACGUUUAUAUUCAUUCCUUGAACCGAGGGUUUAUCGGAAAUAACCUCUCCAGUCUCCACUUUCCCAAAGGUAGGGGUAAGGUUGUGUGCACAUGACCCUCCCAGGCACCACGUGUGAGAUUAUAAUGGGUUUGUUGUUGUAAUUACGUUUGUAUUCCUGUUUAGUACUAUGUGAUUUUCUUUUGUGAUUAAUUUUGUAAUCCCUUUGUUCAAGAGUACUAUGAAAUUCCUUUUCCUUUUG